RNAcentral lists this ribosomal RNA (180 nucleotides) under uncultured bacterium. RNAcentral's name for it is "partial 16S ribosomal RNA". It matches the Rfam family "Bacterial small subunit ribosomal RNA", at positions 1321 to 1500 of the family's 1533-position model. The record is from RNAcentral.
UGAAGCUGGAAUCGCUAGUAAUCGCGAAUCAGAAUGUCGCGGUGAAUACGUUCCCGGGUCUUGUACACACCGCCCGUCACACCAUGGGAGUUGGGAAUGCCCGAAGCCGGUGACCUAACCGAAAGGGAGGAGCCGUCGAAGGCAGGCUUGAUAACUGGGGUGAAGUCGUAACAAGGUAUC